This 343-nucleotide ribosomal RNA is filed under the name uncultured bacterium. Its description in RNAcentral is "bacterial SSU rRNA". It matches the Rfam family "Bacterial small subunit ribosomal RNA", at positions 43 to 382 of the family's 1533-position model. The record is from RNAcentral.
GGCCGCGGGAAUUCGAUUCAGGCCUAACACAUGCAAGUCGAGCGGGGUUUUCGGACCUAGCGGCGGACGGGUGAGUAAUGCGUAGGAAGCUACCCGACAGAGGGGGAUACCAGUUGGAAACGACUGUUAAUACCGCAUAAUGUCUACGGACCAAAGUGUGGGACCUUCGGGCCACAUGCUGUCGGAUGCGCCUACGUGGGAUUAGCUAGUUGGUGAGGUAAUAGCUCACCAAGGCGACGAUCCCUAGCUGGUUUGAGAGGAUGAUCAGCCACACUGGGACUGAGACACGGUCCAGACUCCUACGGGAGGCAGCAGUAAGGAAUAUUGGUCAAUGGACGCAAGU